GAAUCAUACAAACCUGCAUGGUAGGCCCUCACCCACCCGCACAGCGGGCUAUUCUGUUUUCACACACUAGAUGUCGCUCUCUACCCAGCGAUGUCAGCACUGUGGUCGUUAAUUAGAAAAGAAAGCUAUUUGGAAGAGGGUUCGGAUGUGGCUGCAAAACAUAUUUUCAAUUACUUCCAAAUAGGACAUUUUCCCCGACAGCUUGUAAGAGGCAUUCAUUAUUUCUUCGGGAAAAAGAAAGCCUUCAGAACUCAUUGCAAGAGAAAGAAGAGUUGGUGGCCGCCUUUUCUCUUCCCCGCUCCAUGGCCCUGGAAUCCUGGCAUCUGGGUGAACCAUGCUGAGACGGGGCUUGUCUCCGGGAUUAGGGCCUCAGCCAAGGACAGCCCUGCAAGAGGGGCUGGCACUGGAAUCUGCCCCGAGACGCGAGUCGCGGGGAAUUGUCUCCCCGAGCCCUCUCAUCACCCCAAGAGCUGGAGGAAGAGAUUGCAGCUUCAUUUUCUUGAUGUAACUGGCAUUUUGCACCAUGAAAACUACGUGGGAAUCUUCUGAUUGGAUGGUCAAGGAGAAAGAAACCCGCAGUAGGGGAAUUCUUUGUUUUCAGGUUGUUUAAAUGGAAACAAUAGGAAGUUUUUCAUGGAUGAUCGUCAUGUCCCCUCUUAUUCUAGCAGACAGACCAUAAACCAGUUGUCUCAGAACCGGGGAACAAGACAGGAUCUCACUCUGUACUUCAGAUUGGCCUUAGCCCAGCUGACCUCAAACUCAUGGUGAUCCUCCUGCCUCAGCUUCCCAAGUGCUGGGAUAACAGGCUAAUGGAACAAAACCCCACAGUGUGAGUGGCUUAUGAACAACAGAGAUUUAUUUCUCACAGUCCUGGAGGCUGAAGGUACAGGAUCAAGGCACUCAGACUCGGUAUCUGUCCAUGUAAGAAUAUGACCUGACGUGACACAUUCUGCUGACCUUCUACCUUUUGCUUACUGAUGAGAAUGAAAAGGAACUAUGCAUUGUCCUGUUUUUCCCUCUCUAAUGUCAUCAUUUCAGUGUGUGAGUCAGCUUUCCACUGCUGUAACAAAGACCUUAGAUGAAUCAGCUUAUAAAGAGAAAAGGUGAGAAGGUCCUGGAAUAUGUUUAAUCGGUGGGCCAUUUCUAAAAGAAGCUACCUUGGUGCAAGGAGAUCCUGCACUGAUCUAACUGUUGGCUGUGUUAUGGUGGGUGAUGGGGCCUGGGCAGGUUCCUGGGUGUGCGACUAACAAACAGUUGGACAUGACACAUGAUGUUCACCCUGUUAUGAUCACAUGUAUGAGAUGCAGUCCCUACACAUGAACCUCCAGUGAGCUCUAAGUGAGGAAAGGCUACAGGUCAUGCAGCAGGUCUGGUGGAAUAAGAGAAAUCAGCAUAUCAGAGUGGGUGGAGGCCAGAUAAGCUGGCUUUGAAUUCCAGACCUAGCAGCAGUUGCUGUGUGGCUUGUGAAGAUUACUUUCCUGCUCUGUGCUUUAACCGGCUUGUCAGGUGGAUGUGGGAUUGUGUAAGUAAAGUGCUCCUAAUAGUGCCUGCCCCGGGACACCCUCAGAAAGUAAGCUCUUACAAUUAGAAAAAAAAAAAGGUUUGAUAAUCACUUGCAUUGUGGCCAUUGCCACAGGGUCCCACAAUCUUUGCAUCAGGUGUCUUGCAUGCUUUUUAAGUGUUAAAAUAAAACCUUCAUGCUCCCAUCCUGGAUAGAUUUUCAAUUCUUCUUAUUCCAACAAAUGGUAAAAUAGAUUUCUUAAUCUGUCCCUGUGUCUUGAGAGUCAGGCCCGACUGACAGGCUGAGCGCUGCUCCGGUCCACAAGAGUCCUCAGUCACAGCAGCUGGGAGAGCUCUCUGGCAAAUGUGCAAACGUGCAGGUGUACAUUUGCAAAUCGUUGCUUGAUGUACAUAAGAAUCUGGAAUGUAGAGAACACGCCAAAUCAGCCCGCUGUAGACAGGCAGGUCUGCGCAUGCCCUACCGAGGUCCUGAGUCCCACAGAAGAUGCCAAAUCACCCUGCUGCAGACAGGUAGGUCUGCUCACACCCCACCGAGGUCUCCAGAUGUGUGGAAUAAGCCGAAUCAGCCCGCUGCAGACAGGAAGGUCUGUGCAUGCCCUACUGAGGUCCUGAGUCCCGCGGAAGACACCGAAUCACCCCGCUGCAGACAGGCAGCCACCUGGUUCCACACUACAAAGAGGCAGAGGACACCAGACCACCAGACCAAGGUAC
This is a long non-coding RNA of Heterocephalus glaber (naked mole-rat), 2232 nucleotides long. The record is from Ensembl. Lineage: Eukaryota; Metazoa; Chordata; Mammalia; Rodentia; Bathyergidae.